RNAcentral lists this ribosomal RNA (465 nucleotides) under Vreelandella stevensii. Its description in RNAcentral is "partial 16S ribosomal RNA". It matches the Rfam family "Bacterial small subunit ribosomal RNA", at positions 338 to 795 of the family's 1533-position model. Lineage: Bacteria; Pseudomonadati; Pseudomonadota; Gammaproteobacteria; Oceanospirillales; Halomonadaceae. The record is from RNAcentral.
CCUACGGGUGGCUGCAGUGGGGAAUAUUGGACAAUGGGGGGAACCCUGAUCCAGCCAUGCCGCGUGUGUGAAGAAGGCCCUCGGGUUGUAAAGCACUUUCAGUGAGGAAGAACGCCUGGUGGUUAAUACCCAUCAGGAAAGACAUCACUCACAGAAGAAGCACCGGCUAACUCCGUGCCAGCAGCCGCGGUAAUACGGAGGGUGCGAGCGUUAAUCGGAAUUACUGGGCGUAAAGCGCGCGUAGGUGGCUUGAUAAGCCGGUUGUGAAAGCCCCGGGCUCAACCUGGGAACGGCAUCCGGAACUGUCAAGCUAGAGUGCAGGAGAGGUAGGUAGAAUUCCCGGUGUAGCGGUGAAAUGCGUAGAGAUCGGGAGGAAUACCAGUGGCGAAGGCGGCCUUCUGGACUGACACUGACACUGAGGUGCGAAAGCGUGGGUAGCAAACAGGAUUAGAUACCCUUGUAGUC